GAUGAACGCUGGCGGCGUGCCUAACACAUGCAAGUCGAGCGAAAAGGCUUGCUUCUUCUUCUGGAUUGCGGGUACUUGACUGGUGUACGAUCGAGUUUCCACUGAGUGAUCUCCCCCCGAAUUGUGUAUUAGUCCCGGAUACUGUAUCUAUGUCCCGUCAGCUCUGUAUUGUGGCUUCUGCGGUGGAAAAUGAGUUUCCAUUCGUUGAGCUUGUGCUCGCGGUCUCUCAGCUCGUUGGUGGGGUAAUGGCCUACCAAGGCGGGGACGGGUAGCCGGCCUGGGAGGGUGGACGGCCACAUUGGGACUGGGAUACGGCCCAGACUCCUACGGGAGGCAGCAGUGGGGAAUAUUGCACAAUGGGCGGAAGCCUGAUGCAGCGACGCCGCGUGGGGGAUGACGGCCUUCGGGUUGUAAACUCCUUUCGACGGCGAGGAAGCCACCUGGUUGGAAGGGUGGUGACGGUAGUGGUAGAAGAAGCACCGGCUAACUACGUG
RNAcentral lists this ribosomal RNA (494 nucleotides) under uncultured bacterium. RNAcentral describes it as "partial 16S ribosomal RNA". It matches the Rfam family "Bacterial small subunit ribosomal RNA", at positions 28 to 507 of the family's 1533-position model. The record is from RNAcentral.